GACGAACGCUGGCGGCGUGCUUAACACAUGCAAGUCGAACGGAAAGGCCCUGCUUGCAGGGUACUCGAGUGGCGAACGGGUGAGUAACACGUGGGUGAUCUGCCCUGCACUUCGGGAUAAGCCUGGGAAACUGGGUCUAAUACCGGAUAGGAGCCAUUUUUAGUGUGAUGGUUGGAAAGUUUUUUCGGUGUAGGAUGAGCUCGCGGCCUAUCAGCUUGUUGGCGGGGUAAUGGCCUACCAAGGCGGCGACGGGUAGCCGGCCUGGGAGGGUGGACGGCCACAUUGGGACUGAGAUACGGCCCAGACUCCUACGGGAGGCAGCAGUGGGGAAUAUUGCACAAUGGGCGCAAGCCUGAUGCAGCGACGCCGCGUGGGGGAUGACGGCCUUCGGGUUGUAAACUCCUUUCGCUAGGGACGAAGCUUUUUGUGACGGUACCUAGAUAAGAAGCACCGGCUAACUACGUG
RNAcentral lists this ribosomal RNA (465 nucleotides) under uncultured bacterium. RNAcentral describes it as "partial 16S ribosomal RNA". It matches the Rfam family "Bacterial small subunit ribosomal RNA", at positions 28 to 507 of the family's 1533-position model. The record is from RNAcentral.